Nomascus leucogenys (northern white-cheeked gibbon) is the source of this 301-nucleotide long non-coding RNA. RefSeq lists it as uncharacterized. The record is from RefSeq and is a predicted model, not a curated record. NCBI's taxonomy places the organism in Eukaryota, Metazoa, Chordata, Mammalia, Primates, Hylobatidae. The transcript has 3 exons.
CAUGUUGCAGCUGGGAGCAAGGGGAAACCUGGACACGCACUUUACCAAAAUGAGACAACUGUGGCAGGAGACAGGCUAAGAGUGAAAAUCAGGACACAGAGCUGUAUACAUCCAGGGAGAACGUCAUCUGGAGAUGAAAACAGAGAUCAGAGUGAUGCAUCUCCAAGCCAUGGAAUACUGAAGAUGGUGAGCAACCCACCAGAAGCCAGGAGACAGCUGAAGAAAUGGAGGUGCUACUGGCUCAAGGAACCUGGAUUCAUUUAGAGAGUGUGCCCAGGAUGAGACGUGUGGAGAGCCUGGC